Non-coding RNA from Podarcis lilfordi (Lilford's wall lizard), 31460 nucleotides. The record is from the annotation of a GenBank genome assembly. NCBI's taxonomy places the organism in Eukaryota, Metazoa, Chordata, Lepidosauria, Squamata, Lacertidae.
GGAAGUUUCCUUCAGACGCUGAAACUCCUCUGGAGAGCUCACCAUCAUGGCUUCCUUUCUCUUUCUCCUUGCUCUUUUUAUUUACUGCUCAGGUAAAGCUGUGGAGAAGAUCUCAUUUUCCACUGGCCAACAGAAAGCUAAUAGCAUUUAUCAUAUUUUUUUAUUUGAGAACAGUGAAAAUGUUCCUUUUUCUCAUUUUUUUUAAAACAGGUGUCAACUGCCAAUCAAUUUGCACUCAGCCUGCCUCUGAGUCUGUGGCGCCGGGUCAAACAGUUAAACUCUCCUGUACAACUAGUGAUACUGGCGACGCUGUUCGCUGGUAUCAACAGAGAUCAGGGCAGGUCCCUCGAUUUGUGCAGUAUGAGGGUAGCAGCAGGGGAGAAGGGAUCCCGGAUCGAUUCACGGCUUCUCGCUCAGGGAACAUUGGCUAUUUAACCAUCACCAACGUCCAGGCUGAAGACGAGGCUGUUUAUCACUGUUGCAGAUGGUAUGACAGUGUUAAUGGGUUCCACGGUGACACAAACCAAUGGGGAAGUGUGACAACAACCUUUCCUCUUCCUUUUCCACCAAAGAGCAGUGAGAUGUGAAUACUGAAAACAAACUUCAUCUCAUCUGUAUUCACAUCUGUUGUCAAGUCCAUCCUACUCUGGAUGGAACCAGAAGAGACAGAAAACUCUGCAGUCCCACCUCCUUCCUCACAGCAGGUCCUUGGAGCUGCCAGCUCAGCACACCCUCAAGUCAGCCCUUGCCAGUGGAUGAAAGAGCUGCUUUGGCCUCAUUCCAAAAGGAAUGAAGAACCCUGGGAAACACCUGGAACCCCUGGAACCCCCCACCACUUGGAGAUUGGGGUGGUGUGGAGAAAUAGACUUUGUGCCCGCAGUUGCUGUCAAAUCCAACUUCUUCUGCCCAGAACUUGUAAGAGAUAAAGAGCACAUUUGAAGACCCCCCUCCUGCUGCAAAGCAGGACCAGGGACCUCCCAAUCCAGACCUCUAUCAUGUCUGUGCUCAGAGUCAGGACCACCACCUGGGCUGGAUGGAAGAAGGAAGCCAAGCAGGUGGGGGCACUUAAUCCCAUCUGCACCCGUAGGGCUUGUCCACAUUUCAGCUUAUCCCAUUCUGGAAAGCACAGGUACAAGCCAUUUUAUGUUUGCCCAUGUUUUCUAGACAUGAGUCGGGCUGGUUUUGCCUUUGCCCCACUGCUUCCCCCUGGAAAACCUGCUCUUCAACCCUAAAUCAGAACAACCCGCAAUCUUUGGAGAAUCCAACUGCCCUUUGCUGCCAUUCGGAAGUCAACCACUGGUUUUCCCUGGGGAAAGAAGCAGGGGAAACUGAGCUGUGCUCUUCCUUCUGGAUCAAAGACAUCGGUUUGGAAAGACUUGUUAGUUUAUAUCCAUUUAGGGACGCGGGUGGCGCUGUGGGUAAAACCUCAGCGCCUAGGACUUGCCGAUCGCAUGGUCGGCGGUUCGAAUCCCCGUGGCGGGGUGCGCUCCCGUUUCUCGGUCCCAGCGCCUGCCAACCUAGCAGUUCGAAAGCACCCCUGGGUGCAAGUAGAUAAAUAGGGACCGCUUACUAGCGGGAAGGUAAACGGCGUUUCCAUGUGCUGCGCUGGCUCGCCAGAGCAGUUUCGUCACGCUGGCCACGUGACCUGGAAGUGUCUGUGGACAGCGCUGGCUCCCGGCCUCUAGAGUGAGAUGAGCGCACAACCCUAGAGUCUGUCAAGACUGGCCCGUAGGAGCAGGGGUACCUUUACCUUUAUCCAUUUAGAUCCUUUUCAGGAAAUGUGAAAUAUUACAGACCGGCGUGCCAAUUGCAGGAGUGGAUAUCUGCCACCCAAAAAAUUGUCAAGGAAGGGGCCAGGCCCCUCAGAACUCCUCAGUGGACGUGCGCAGGCUGAGUGUCCCUGCUGCAGACUGAGUGCCUUUUGAAGUUCUGGUCCUCAGAAGUUGGCAGCAGAGAGCGUAUCACUGGAAAUGUUUUCUCUCCCAGUAUGUUCUGCAAAACAGUAAUGUGAACCUUAAUACAGCAGGUGAGGGGAAAUGGUGGCCUUUUAGAAAUUGUUGGGCUCCCAUCCGCCCCAGUCAACAUGGCCAAUGGCCAGACACAUUUGGAGCUUGCUCCAGUAUGUUACUAAACUUUGAUGCCUCUUGCUUGUCUGGAGGGAGGAUGGGAAGAGAUAUGUGAAGACACUUCCACAGGAGACAGAAGUAAAAUUUGGAGGCAUAGCUCCACCCACUUUUUCUUCAGGCCCCUCCUACCAUUGGCAGGUGCCUUGCCCAGUCUAUGGCUUUAACAAGCCGCUUCCCCGCCCAGACCAGACCAGAGUCUGAAAUUAGCAUUUCUUCCUAACAAUAGCUUAGAAACUUUUACCUUUUGUAACUAAACAAUAUUUUGCUUCUUUCCUGACUAGUGCGCUUCUCGCUUAUUAUUUUUUUAAAAUUCUAUAGUCGAUUACUUCUUGUUUCAGGGAUUUUCAUGGUAAUUUCUUUUGUUCUGUGUAAUUUCUUGGUUCCGUGACUGUCUUUUUUCCACUGGUGAUUUACUGCUAGUUCGCUCCUGUCACUGACCCACUACUUAUUUUUUUAUUUUAAAAAUGCUUCAUGAAAAUCUGUCUUAUUCUCCCCUGUUUGACUGUCCCGCAAUGCUUUGCAGAAACAUGAAGCUCUAGGAGUGGCGAUUGGAUAUCCACAGAGAACAUUUGCAUAAAGGAGAAAGCCUUCAGCUCUGGGAGAUUUAAGAGAGGAGAGCGCAGGUUCCCUUCAGAAUGUCAAACUCCCCUGGAGAGCUCACCAUGGCCCUCUCUCAGUUCAUCCUUGCUGUUUUCCUUUUCUGCUCAGGUAAGGCUGUGGAGAUGAUCUCUUGUUACAGAGGCCAAGUCAAAGAUAUCAGAAUAUAUCCUAGAAGCAUAGUGCUUUAUGGAUAUUUGAGAAUGCUGAAGAUGAAUCUAGGUCCUCAUCUUUGUUUUUUCUGUUGUUGCUUCCCACUGCAAAGGUGUCUCUUCACAAUCGGCUUGGACACAGCCUGCCUCUGAAUCUGUGACCCUGGGACAAACGGUGAAACUCCCCUGUACUACUCGUGAAAGCGGUGUCAACUACAUACAUUGGUAUCAACAGAGACCAGGACAUGCCCCUCGCUAUGUCCACUGUGAGAGUUGCAGCAGGGGAGAAGGGAUCCCAGAUCGGUUCACUGCUUCCCGCUCUGGGAUCAUGGGCUAUUUAACCAUCAGCAACCUCCAGGCUGGAGACGAGGCAGUUUAUUACUGUAGCAGAUGGUAUAGCAGUGCUAGUGAGUUCCACGGUGAUGCAAACUGAUGGGGAUGUGAGACAAAAACCUUUCCUCUUCCACCAAAGAGCAGUGAGAUGUGAAUGCAUGAAAAGAACUUUCUAUGCUUUGUGCUUGCAGCUGUUUUCAAGUCAUGGGCAGAUUUGCUUUAACUGGCCAUGACUGGCCAUACAGACAACUUAAUCCACACAGAGGCUGCAACUGCAGGGAACAAACAGAGAGUGAACAGACCCAAAGCAAGUUUUUGUUCGAUCAGGCCAGACGCUCCAAGUGUCCCUAUUUUGCAGUGUCAGUACUGAAUCUAGAAAAGCCGUCCUGAUUUCUGAAUUGAUCCUGAAAGUCCCACUUUUCCUUAGAUCGUUCCAAUUUCCAUAUGAAAAAUGUUGGAAGGUAUGGAGUUAUUGAACCCACAAGCCAUUUGAAGACAGAGUUAAAUUUAUACAGAAUAUUAUGGGACAUUCAAUCAAAGGGCCAGUCCUGCUGCUUUGAAUAAUCUCCUUUAUGCAAAUCUGCCCUUUGGGCCCUUUGAUUGAAUGUCCCAUAAUAUUCUGUAGGAUCUCCAAACCCCAAUAGAAGCAAUCGAUGAUCGCGCAAGACAUUUGCAUGAAGGGGCAGCUCUUCAGCUCUGGGGGAUUUAAGAGAGGAGUGAGGAAGUUUCCUUCAGAAGUUCAAACUCCUCUGGAGAGCUCACCAUCAUGUCUUCCUUUCUCUUUCUCCUUGCUCUAAAGCGAGAUGAGCGCCGCAACCCCAGAGUCGGUCAUGACUGGACCUAAUGGUCAGGGGUCCCUUUACCUUUACCUAUGUAAAGGAAAACUCAACCACUUUAAUGUUUCCAUGAGGGAAAGAUACAUAUGUGGAGAGCUCACCAUACGAAAAAUGAUCAAUUUUGCCCCCCCAUCCCAUGUUAGAAAUUAUCACAAGCGACAUGUUGAACACUAGAUCAAAGUGUUCUCAUGAUCCAUUUUCAAAACACUAGGUAUUCCUGGGUUUUAUCGACGUGGGAUAUGCCAUCCUCUCUGUCUUGUUCUCCUCCUGGUGAAGCAUAUUCUAUAUUUUCAAAAUGGCCUUCAGGCAAAUUUGCCCCCAGGUCCUAUGCUUCAGUGUCCCAAAAGACUCUGGGGAAAUGAGAAGUCCGAGGCAAGGCCUUCACUCUCCUGUUUAAUUCUGUGCCUUCCGUGUUCUGCUAUGAAACCUUCUUUAUUUAUGCUUGCUAAGCUGCCUUUCACCACUAGGGGAAGAUAUUGGCCCUGUUUUCUGACAGAAAUGAACCGAUCACAAAGACCCCUUUGGAAACGUGCUGGGAAACAGAAAGGGGAAUGUUUUAGGGACAUGGUUGCUCUUUCUGAGCUGUACUCCUUUACUUUAUUUAAUAUCUGUGCUUACAAGCCCAUCCUUAACCAAAGGCACCAGGAAGAUGACAAAAAUACCCUUUGCACAUCUGACCACCCCAUUGAACUGAGAGGAAUUUUCUGAUUCUCCUUCAGGCCAAACCAAGGACUUGUCCUACCCCUUUUCAAGAUGCCCAUAAUGCAAAUUUGUCAUUCUGUCCUGUGCUUGAAUGUCCCACAAUGCCCUGCAGGAACAUGAAGUUCUAGCAGAGGCGAUCAGCUGAUCACCGAGGACAUUUGCAUGAAGAAGGGGCAACUCUUCCACUCUGGAGGAUUUAAGAGAGGAGAGGGGAUGAUUCCUUGAGUAAGCCAAACACUUCUGGAGAACUCACCAUGGGCCAAUUUCUAUUUCUCCUUGCUCUUUUCACUUACUGCUCAGGUAGGACUGUGGAGAUGACCUCAUGAUAUGUAGACCAAGCGAAGCUCUUUGUAUUUAUCAAUGGAAUAUAUUACUUGGUGGGUGUUUGAAAGUGCAUCCGGCUCAUAGUACCUGUUCUUUCUGGUUUUCCUUUUAGAAGGUGUCACUUCCCAGUCAGCUUGGACUCAGCCUGCCUCUGAGUCGGCGACCCUGGGACAAACAGCUAAACUCUCCUGUACCACUAAUGAUGGCAGCGAAAUAAUUCACUGGUAUCAACAGAGAUCUGGAGAAGCCCCUCUCUUUCUGCACUGUGAGGGUUGCAGCAACAGGGGAGAAGGGAUCCCAGAUCGGUUCACUGCUUCCCGUUCUGGGAGCAUUGGCUAUUUGACCAUCACCAACAUCCAGGCUAGAGACGAGGCAGUUUAUUACUGUGGUAGGUGGAAUACGGCUGGUAUCGUGUUCCACGGUGGUACAAUCUGAUGGGGAACUGAGACGAAAACCUAGCCUCUUCCUCCCAAGAGGGGUGAAAUGUGAAUGCUGUAGAAGAACUUCACAUGAUUUGGGUGGCUCUGCAGCAGUUGUCAAGUCAACCCUACCGUGGAAAGAUCAGAAAGCGACACAAGGAAUUCAGAAAACCCUUGUUUAUUAUUUCUGUUUGGAAAAUUACCACAUGCCUCUUCUGUGGCUAUGGCAAGGUAGAAGAUUCAGAUGGUUCGUAUCUGUGUUGCAUGCAGUGAUAAAGGGAGACCACAGAAAUAUGCUUCUAAUUUUUUUGUUGGGGAUAAUUCAGACAGAAAUCCCCAGGUGUCAAAAAAUGUUAUUUAGCCCAAAAAUGGAAAUGGCAAUGAAAAAUGAAAUGGAAAUGGAAAUGGAAAAUGAGUGAGAUCCCAACUAAAGAAGAAUGACAACUAAAGAAGAAUGAUGGAAUAUGCGCAGCUUGCGGACCUAACAUACAGAAUAAGAGAACAAGAAGAACAUACGUUUCAAGAAGAUUGGAAAAUGUUUAUUGAAUAUAUGGGGGGAAAUUGUGUACACUUGAAAACGUUGGCAGCAUUAAGAUAAAUUCAACAGUGUAAACAAGUUUUGAUGGAUGUAAUAAUGGAAUGCUGAAUGGUUUAGUUUAUGUAAAAUAUGCAGGGAUUUAUGAUAUGCAAAAUGAACCAUGGAAAGAGAAGAAGGGACGUCACUGACAUUUUAAGGUUGUUUACCUUUUUUCGUAUCUCUUAAAAGGUUGUAAACCUUUUUUCGUAUCUCUUCAAGCAUUACAGCUGGAAACCACUUAGUUUCUAUCCAACAUCCUUCUAAAAUUCCUUAAUUUUACAAUAUUUCUGUAAAUAGUCUUUAAAUUUCUUCCAGUCUUCUUUCACUGACUCUUCUCCCUGGUCUCGGAUUCUGCCAGUCAUUUCUGCCAGUUCCAUAUAGUCCAUCAGCUUCAUCUGCCAUUCUUCCAGAGUGGGUGGAUCUUGUGUCUUCCAAUACUUUGCAAUGAGUAUUCUUGCUGCUGUUGUGGCAUACAUAAAAAAGGUUCUAUCCUUCUUUGGCACCAAUUGGCUGACUAUGCCCAGGAGAAAGGCCUCUGGUUUCUUCGAAAAGGUAUAUUUAAAUACCUUUUUCAGUUCAUUAUAUAUCAUUUCCCAGAAAGCCUUAAUCCCUGGGCACGUCCACCAAAGGUGAAAGAAUGUACCUGCAGUUUCUUUACAUUUCCAACAUUUGUUAUCGGGCAAAUGAUAAAUUUUUGCAAGCUUGACUGGGGUCAUGUACCACCUGUAUAUCAUUUUCAUAAUAUUCUCUCUUAAAGCAUUACAUGCCGUAAACUUCAUACAUGUGGUCCACAACUGUUCCCAGUCAGCAAACAUAAUGUUAUGUCCAACAUCUUGUGCCCAUUUAAUCAUAGCAGAUUUCACCAUUUCAUCCUGAGUAUUCCAUUUCAACAGCAAGUUAUACAUCUUUGACAAAAUCUUAGUUUUGGGUUCUAACAGUUCUGUUUCUAAUUUUGAUUUUUCCACCUGGAAGCCAAUUUUCUUGUCCAAAUUAUAUGCCUCCAUUAUCUGAUAAUAAUGAAGCCAGUCUCGCACUUUAUUUUUUAAUUUCUCAAAACUCUGCAGUUUCAGUCUAUCUCCAUCUUGUUCCAAAAUUUCCCAAUAUUUCGGCCAAUUGGCCUCCAUAUUGAGCCUUUUCAGAGCUUUUGCUUCCAUUGGUGACAGCCACCUUGGGGUUUUAUUUUCCAAUAAGUCUUUAUAUCUUAUCCAGACAUUAAACAAUGCUUUCCUGACAAUAUGAUUUUUGAAUGCUUUGUGUGCUUUGACCUUAUCAUACCAUAAGUACCUGUGGUACCCAGUAGUUACGGUAUCAUCAGUUAUCUUGUAUCUGAGUAUUUUUAUUCCUGGUAUCUGUCGAUUUCUGUGUCGCAGGAAGCUAGGGGACAAACAGGGGAGUGCAGUGGCUGUGUUGAGAAUUGUGUGGUUCUGAGUUCAAAUGUCAACCCAUGGAUUCCACUAUGAGAAGUCCACUUCUCCAUUCUCAGUUACCCAUGUGCAACAAUAUAAUGUAAUCUAAAGCCCUUGAAAUUCUCUCUCUCUCUCUCUCCAUACUUCUUCCUUUGGAGAACUCAAGACAACGUAAAUAGGAUCCCCAAAUGGUCUUAAAUCCAUGGACUGACCGAUCCAAGAUCUGCCAUAAUGAAAUAGACCCAGGGAAGCUUUUGCUGUAAUUAAUUUAUUUGCUUUUAAGGAGUCACAAACUUUCCAUUAUUUUCUGCAAUGUCAUCAAGACUUCUAAGCCCAGACCAACUGGGGUGACUCAGAGACACUCCCGGUGGAAAUGAUCAAAACAAACCUUAUGAGAAUUUGGGAUCUGACCCCUGUCUCACACCUGUACAGCAGUAGAAAGUUUCAUGAUAGUGCUGUCAGAUGAAGAAGAGAGUCAAAAAUCUUCACUCCUCUGUGCCUUCUGUGCUUUGCGAUGAAACCUUCUUUAUUUGAGGCCUGCACAGCAUCAAAUGAUCACAAAGACCACAGAGCACAUUUGCAUGAAGGGGCAGCUCCUCAGCUCUGGGGGAUUUAAGAGAGGAAGUUUCCUUCAGAAGUUCAAACUCCUCUGGAGAGCUCACCAUCAUGUCUUCAUUUCUCUUUCUCCUUGUUCUUUUUCUUUACUGCUCAGGUAAAGCUGUGGAGAAGAUCUCAUAUUCCCUUGGCCAACAGAAAGCUAACUGCAUUUAUCAUAUUUACUUAUUUGAGAACACUGAAAAUGUUCCUUUUUCUCAAUUCUCUUACAACAGGUGUCACCUGCCAGUCAAUUUGCAUUCAGCCUGCCUCCGAGUCUGUGUCGCCGGGUGAAACCAUUAAACUCUCCGGCACAACUAGUGAUACUGGCUCUGCUGUUCGCUGGUAUCAACAGAGAUCAGGGCAGGUCCCUCGAUUUGUGCAAUAUGAAGGUAGCAGCAGGGGAGAAGGGAUCCCGGAUCGAUUCACAGCUUCUCGCUCUGGGAACAUUGGCUAUUUAACCAUCACCAAUGUCCAGGCUGAAGACGAGGCCGUUUAUCAUUGUGGCAGAUGGUAUAAUAACCUGUUUCACAGUGAUACAAACCAAUGGGGAAGUGGGACAAAAACCUUUCCUCUUUGACCAAACAGCAGUGAUCUGUGAAUGCUUGAAAUAAACUUCAUAUAGUCUGUCUCUACAUCUGUUGUCAAGUCCAUCCUACUCUGGAUGGAACCAGAAGAGACAGAAAACUCUGAAGUCCCACCUCCUUCCUCACAGCAGGACCUUGGAGCUGCCAGCCCAGCACACCCUCAAGUCAGCCCUUCCCAGUGGAUGAAAGAUUGCAUUGGGAAAGUCAGGCUGCAGACUUCAUAUCAUUCCAGAUGGAAGUCUGUUUUAGGAAUGGUGAGCUAUAAGAGAAAUGCCACCUGCUGACUGCUAAGUUGGGUCUUCAUUGAGCCUAUUGUAAUGUUCUUAUCAUUUUCUGAGCAGUAUUAUUAUUAUUAUUAUUAGUAGUAGUAGUAGUACAACUUCAAGGGGUGUGUGUGUGUGUGUGUGUGUGUGUAAAUAACCCAUAUCAUAAAGAUAACACAAUUGCCAAUAGGCCUCAUUCCAAAAGGAAUGAUGAACCCUGGGAAACGCCUGGAACCCAUGGAACCCCUCACAACUUGGAGAUUGGGGUGGUGUGGAGAAAUAGGCUUUGUGACUGCAGUUGCUGUCAAGUCCAACGUCUUCUGCCUAGAACUUGUAACAGAUAAAAAGCACAUUUGAAGACCCCCCCUCUUGCUGCAGAGCAGGACCUCUAUCAUGUCUGCGCUCAGAGUCAGCACCACCACCUGGGCUGGAUGGAAGUAGGAAGCCAAGCAGAUGGGGGCACUUAAUCCCAUCCGCACUCUUGUUCCAGGCUGCUGGAGAGUCUGGUGGGAGUCCGCCAAUUCUGCUCUCCCACGAAGGUCUCAGGGAUAGCAUUCGUGUCACUGUUGCCGGCUGCGUGCCUUUUCAUCCCAAUCUCCGCUCCUCAUAUGCCAGAAGGUGGCACCAGAGACUUUUGAAAUAACAAGAAUGAAUGUUUUCUUCACCAAGUUCAUGCAAUAAUUUAAAGUUCUAUAGUGUUGUACAGUCGGGGUAGGGAAACUCUGGCCUUUCUGAAGUUGUUGGACUCCUACUCCCAUCAGCCCCGGCCAGCAAGAGCAAUAGAAGGAUGCAAAGAGCAGGCGGACCAAUCGGCCCCUUUCUGUGCAGGAGGACAUAGAGUAGGCUGCCCGGAGUGUGCAGCUUGGUUUGUGCAGCCCUGACUAGUGGGUGUUCUUCCCCUCUUUUGAACUUCUCAAUCCUUUGUUUCACUGAUUCAUUUCAUAAUAUUUCUACACCACUUGAUCGUAUUAAAAAAGCCUCAAAGGUUAUAAAGAGAUAAGACAAUGAAGAAAAAAUCACAAUGUUACUAUAAAAAAUAAAAAAUAAAAAUACAAUAGUCAGACUGAACUUUCUAAGACUUUCUAAGAAUUAUGAGCUUUUUUCAUUCCUACACAGUCCUCUGUCCCUCCUGCCCAUAUUAGGAAUGGUCCCAAGUGAGAUAGAUGUCCCACUCCAUAAAAAGCAGUGUUCCCAGGACCCUUCCUAAUAGACGACUUGUUGCAAAGAGUUCCUUCAUGGCUGUCUCAUAAGACCCUGGCUGAACUAAGGGCCAGUCUUGCUGCUUUGAGAAAUCUCAUUUAUGCAAAUCUGCCCUCAGGCCCUUGGACUGAAUGUCCUAUGAUGCUCUGCAGGAUCUCCCAAUCCCAAUCGAGGCAAUCAAUGAUCAAAGAAGAUAUUUGCAUGAAGGGGCAGCUCUUCAGCUCUGGGGGAUUUAAGAGAGGAGUGAGGAAAUUUCCCUCAGUAGUUCAAACUCCUCUGGAGAGCUCACCAUCAUGUCAUCAUUUCUCUUUCUCCUUGCUCUUUUUAUUUACUGCUCAGGUAACGCUUUGGAGAAGAUCUCAUUUUCCAUUGGCCAACCAAAAGCUAACUGCAUUUAUCAUUUUAUUUAUUUGAGAGCACUUGAAAUAUUCCUUUUUCUGAUUUGUUAUUAAACAGGUGUCACCUGCCAGUCAAUUUGCACUCAGCCUGCCUCCGAAUCUGUGGCACCAGGUCAAACCAUUAAACUCUCCUGUACAACUAGUGAUACUAUUUCCUACGUUCGCUGGUUUCAACAGAGAUCAGGGCAGGCCCCUCGAUUUGUGCAGUAUGAGGGUAGCAGCAGGGGAAAAGGGAUCCCGGAUCAGUUCACUGCUUCCCGCUCUGGGAACAAUGGCUAUUUAACCAUCACCAAUGUCCAGGCUGAAGACGAGGCCGUUUAUCACUGUGGCAGAUGGUAUGGUAACACGUUCCACAGUGAUGCAAAGUAAUGGGGAAGUGUGGCAAAAACCUUUUCUCUUCCACCAAAGAGCAGUGAGAUGUGAAUACUGAAAACGAACUUCAUCUAAUCUGUGUCUACAUCUGUUGUCAAGUCCAUCCUACUCUGGAUGGAACCAGAAGAGACAGAAAACUCUGAAGUCCCACCUCCUUCCUCACAGCAGGACCUUGGAGCUGCCAGCCCAGCACACCCUCAAGUCAGCCCUUGCCAGUGGAUGAAAGAUUGCAUUGGGAAAGUCAAGCUGCAGACUUCAUAUCAUUCCAGAUGGAAGUCUGUUUUAGGAAUGGUGAGCUAUAAGAGAAAUGCCACCUGCUGACUGCUAGGUUGGGUCUUCAUUGAGCCUAUUGUAAUGUUCUUAUCAUUUUCUGAGUAUUAUUGUUAUUAUUAUUAUUAGUAGUAGUUGUAGUACAACUUCAAGUUGUGUGUGUGUGUGUGUGUGUGUGUGUGUGUGUAUGUGUGUGUGUGUGUGUAAAUAACCCAUAUCAUAAAGAUAACACAAUUGCCAAUAGGCCUCAUUCCAAAAGGAAUGAUGAACACUGGGAAAUGCCUGGAACCCAAUUAACCCCCCACCACUUGGAGUUUGGGGUGACGUGGAAAAAUAGGCUUUGUGACUGCAGUUGCUGUCAAGUCCAACUUCUUCUGCCUAGAACUUGUAACAGAUAAAAAGCACAUUUGAAGACGCCCCCCUUGCUGCAGAGCAGGACCUCUAUCAUGUCUGCGCUCAGAGUUAGCACCACCACCUGGGCUGGAUGGAAGUAGGAAGCCAAGCAGAUGGGGGCACUUAAUCCCAUCCGCACUCUUGUUCCAGGCUGCUGGAGAGUCUGGUGGGAGUCCGCCAAUUCUGCUCUCCCACGAAGGUCUCAGGGAUAGCAUUCUUGUCACUGUUGCCGGCUGCGUGCCUUUUCAUCCCACUCUCCGCUCCUCAUAUGCCAGAAGGUGGCACCAGAGACUUUUGAUAUAACAAGAAUGAAUGUUUUCUUCACCAAGCUCAUGCAAUAAUUUAAAGUUCUAUAGUGUUGUACAGCGGGGGUAGGGAAACUCUGGCCUUUCAGAAGUUGCUGGACUCCAACUCCCAUCAGCCCCGGCCAGCAAGAGCAAUAGAAGCAUGCAAAGAGCAGGCGGACCAAUCGGUCCCUUUCUGUGCAGGAGGACAUAGAGUAGGCUGCCUUGAGUGUGCAGCUUGUUUUGUGCAGCCCUGAGGAGUGGGUGUUCUUCCCCUCUUUUGAACUUCUCAAUCCUUUGUUUCACUGAUUCAUUUCAUAAUAUUUCUACACCACUUGAUCGUAUUAAAAAAGCCUCAAAGGUUAUAAAGAGAUAAGACAAUGAAGAAAAAAUCACAAUGUUACUAUAAAAAAUAAAAAAUAAAAAUACAAUAGUCAGACUGAACUUUCUAAGACUUUCUAAGAAUUAUGAGCUUUUUUCAUUCCUACACAGUCCUCUGUCCCUCCUGCCCAUAUUAGGAAUGGUCCCAAGUGAGAUAGAUGUCCCACUCCAUAAAAAGCAGUGUUCCCAGGACCCUUCCUGAUAGACGUCUUGUUGCAAAGAGGUCCUUUCAAUGCUGUCUCAUAAGACACUGUUUGAACCAAGGGCCAGUCUUGCUGCUUUGAGAAAUCUCAUUCAUGCAAAUCUGCCCUUGGGUCCUUGGACUGAACGUCCCAUAAUGCUCUGCAGGAUCUCCAAAUCCCAAUAGAGGCAAUCGAUGAUCAAAGAAAAUAUUUGCAUGAAGGGGCAGCUCUUCAGCUCUGGGGGAUUUAAGAGACGAAUGAGGAAGUUUCCUUCAGUAGUUCAAACUCCUCUGGAGAGCUCACCAUCAUGUCUUCAUUUCUCUUUCUCCUUGCUCUUUUUAUUUACUGCUCAGGUAACGCUUUGGAGAAAAUCUCAUUUUCCAUUGGCCAACCAAAAGCUAACUGCAUUUAUCGUAUUUACUUAUUUGAGAACACUGAAAAUGUUCCUUUUUCUGAUUUGUUAUUAAACAGGUGUCACCUGCCAGUCAAUUUGCACUCAGCCUGCCUCCGAAUCUGUGGCACCAGGUCAAACCAUUAAACUCUCCUGUACAACUAGUGAUACUAUUUCCUACGUUCGCUGGUAUCAACAGAGAUCAGGGCAGGCCCCUCGAUUUGUGCAGUAUGAGGGUAGCAGCAGGGGAGAAGGGAUCCCGGAUCGGUUCACUGCUUCCCGCUCUGGGAACAAUGGCUAUUUAACCAUCACCAAUGUCCAGGCUGAAGACGAGGCCGUUUAUCACUGUGGCAGGUGGUAUGGUAACACGUUCCACAGUGAUGCAAAGUAAUGGGGAAGUGUGGCAAAAACCUUUUCUCUUCCACCAAAGAGCAGUGAGAUGUGAAUACCAAAAACAAACAUCAUCUAAUCUGUGUCUACAUCUGUUGUCAAGUCCAUCCUACUCUGGAUGGAACCAGAAGAGACAGAAAACUCUGAAGCCCCACCUCCUUCCUCACAGCAGGACCUUGGAGCUGCCAGCCCAGCACACCCUCAAGUCAGCCCUUCCCAGUGGAUGAAAGAUUGCAUUGGGAAAGUCAGGCUGCAGACUUCAUAUCAUUCCAGAUGGAAGUCUGUUUUAGGAAUGGUGAGCUAUAAGAGAAAUGCCACCUGCUGACUGCUAGGUUGGUUCUUCAUUGAGCCUAUUAUAAUGUUCUUAUCAUUUUCUGAGCAUUAUUAUUAUUAUUAUUAUUAUUAUUAUUAUUAUUAUUAUAGGUUCAGGUUGUAUAUAUGCAUAAAUAAACUAUAUAUCAUAAAGACACCACAAUCUCCAAUGCGCCUUAUUCCCAAAGGGAAGACGAACCCUGGGAAAUGCCUGGAACCCCUGGAACCUCCCACCACUUGGAGAUUGGGGUGGUGUGCAGAAGUAGGUUUUGCACCUGCAGUUGCUGUCAAGCCAAACUUCCUCUGCCUCAAACUUGUAAGAGCAAAGAACACAUUUGAAGACCCCCCUCCUGCUGCAGAGCAGGACCAGGGACCUCCCAGCCCAGCCCUCAAUCCCAUCCACACCAGGAGUGCCAGGCUUCUGCAGAUUCCUAGGGCUUGUCUAAUUUCUGGAAAGCACAGCUAGAAGGACUUUUACGCUUUGCCCCUGAUUUCUAGACAGGAGUCUGUCUGGUUUUGCCUUGGCCCCGCUGCUUUCUCCGGAAAACCUGCUCUUCAACCCUAAAUUGGAACAACUGGCAAUCUGUGAAAAAUCAAACUGCCCUUUCCUGCCAUUCAGAAGUAAACUGCAGCUUUUUCCUGGGUAAAGAGGCAGGGGAAAUGGAGCUGUGUCCUUCCUUUUGGAUCAAAGUGGUCGGUUUGGAAAGGCUUGGGAGUUUAUAUCUAUUUAGAUCCAUUUGAGGAAAAGUGAAAUAUUAGAGACACACGCACCAAUGGGGGUGCAGCGAACCCAAUAAUUGUCAAGGAAGGGGCCAGGCCCCUCAAAACUGCCCAGCGGAUGUGCUCACCUGCCACGGGGAGUGCUUGUGUCAGUGGUGCAAGCUGUAGGGCAUGCGCGCGGCAUGCCAGACCACCCUGUGACGUUCGUGCCUGAUGUCAGAAUGGAGGUCUGCUCUGCAAAGCAGUAACGUGAACCUGAAUACGGCAGCUGUGGGGAAAUGGUGGCCUUUCAGAAAUGGGUGGACUCCCAUCAGCCCCAGUCAGCAUGGCCAAUGGCCAGACACAUUUGAGCCUUUCUCUAAGUGUUCCUAAAAUUUGACAAUGCCUCUUGCUUGUCUGGAGGGAGGAUGGAAAGAGACGUGUGAAGACACUUUCGCAGGAGACAGAAUUAAAAUUCAGAGCCAUUGCUCCACCCACUUUUUGCUCUGGUCCCUCCUCCCAUUGGUAGGUGCCUUGGCCAGUCCAUGGCUUUAACAAGCCUCUUUUCCUCCCAGACCAGAAGUGGAGUCUGAAUCUAGCAUUUCUUCCUACCAAUAGCUUAGAAACUUAUGUAAGUAAGCAACAUUUGGCUUCUUUUCUGUCUGGUGAUUUACUGCUGGCUCGCUCCUGUCACUGACCCACUACUUUUUUCUUUUUAAUGCCCUUUUUGAAAAUCGGUCCUAUUCUCCCCUGUUUGACUGCCCCACAAUGCUUUGCAGGAACAUGAAGCUCUAGGAGAGGUGAUUGGAUAUCCACAGAAUCAGGGCUGUAGCUAGGGGGUGGUGAGGUGGUCCCCCGCCAGGGGUGCAGGUGAGGAGGGGGCACAGAAUUAGCUAAAAUAUAUGCAUAAAUAUGUCUAUAAAUAAAAAUAUUGAUAGUGCCUCAUAAGAAAAGGCUUUAAAUAGAGGGUGAAUGGAAUAGGUGAAGGGGGUGGGGUUUGGAGGAGAGGCGGAAAGAAGAGCAACCAAUAAUUUGUCUGUGUCAAGUGGGUGCAAUCCGGAUUGUUCUGCCAGGGGCACAAGAUCACCUAGCCACAGCUCUGCACAGAGCACAUUUGCAUGAAGGGGAAAGCCUUCAGGUCUGGGAGAUUUAAGAGAGGAGAAGGCAAGAUCCCUUCAGAAAGUCAGACUCCCUGGAGAGCUCACCAUGGCCCUCCCUCAAUUCAUCUUUGCUAUUUUGCUUUACUGCUCAGGUAAGGCUGUGGUGAUGAUUUCUUGUUAUAGAGGCAAAGCCAAAGAUAUUUGAAUCUGUCCUAGAAACAUAGUGCUUUGUGGGUAUUUGUGAAUGCUGAAAAUUAAUCUAGGUCCUCAUCUUUGCUUUUUCUGUUGUUGCUUCCCACUGCAAAGGUGUCUCUUCACAAUCAGCUUGGACACAGCCUGCCUCUGAAUCUGUGACCCUGGGACAAACGGUCAAACUCUCCUGUACUACUGGUGAAAGCGGUGACAACUACAUAUAUUGGUAUCAACAGAGACCAGGACAGGCCCCUCGCUUUGUGCACUGUGAGAGUUGCAGCAGGGGAGAAGGGAUCCCAGAUCGAUUUACUGCUUCCCGCUCUGGGAUCAUGGGCUAUUUAACCAUCAGCAACCUCCAGGCUGGAGACGAGGCCGUUUAUUACUGUUGCAGAUGGUAUAGCAGUGCUAGUGAGUUCCACGGUGAUACAAACGGAUGGGGAUGUGAGACAAAAACCUUUCCUCUUCCACCAAAGAGCAAUGAAAUGUGAAUGCUUAAGAAGAACUUCCUAUGCUUUGUGCUUGCAGCUGUUUUCAAGUCAUGGGCAGAUUUGCUUUAACUGGCCAUGACUGGCCAUACAGACAACUUAAUCCACACAGAUGCUGCCACUGCAGGGAACAAACAGAGAGUGAACAGACCCAAAGCAAGUUUUUGUUCGAUCAGGCCAGACGCUCCAAGUGUCCCUAUUUUGCAGUGAGUACUGAAUCUACAAAAGCCGUCCUGGUUUCUGAAUUGAUCCUGAAAGUCCCACUUUUCCUUAGAUCGUUCCAAUUUCCAUAUGAAAAAUGUUGGAAGGUAUGGAGUUAUUGAACCCACUAGCCAUUUGAAGACAGCCCUGUAUAGCCAAGUUUUUAAUGCUUAAUGUUUUAUUAUGCUUUUGUAUAUGUUGGAUGCCACCCAGAGGGGCACCCCAGUCAGAUAUGCAGCGUAUAAAGAGUUAAAUUAUUAUUAUGGGAUAGGAGGUCCCGAUUUUCAUUGGAGAAAUGUUGGAGGGUACAUUGACAGGCAUCUGCCUGAGGGUCACAUUCCCCACCUGGUAACUUUCCAUGGGACCCACAUUACUGGUGGGUGGGGCCAGAGGCAAAGGUGCAAUGAAUUGAUAUUUCACCUCUCUACUGUAGGCUAGUUUUCCCCACACUCCCUAUCCCCCAUUCAGGAAAGCGAGAGGCAUCAACGGAAUGCGAGGGAACAAACCGAGGCAGUGGAAGGUGUGGCUAGAGGAGAGUGGGUGUGGCCUAGAGCAGUGGCAAAGUGUGUGUGUGGGGGGGAAUGGGGUGCUUUUCCCACACACAAGGUUGUUAGGGGCACAAAAUUUGUACACUUGGUGCUGCCACAAUACAGCUGCAUACUUCCUUCACUGUGCUCGCUUGAAAACAGGUUCUCCAUGUGAAGCUGAGCUCUCCAGACAAUGGUGCGACACUCUUGUCUCUUUGGUUGCAAUCUCCUGGGUGAUGCAGAGGCCACUAGGCAGGUGAAUGUGCAUGCGUACUUUGUCCGUUUCCCUCCCACCCACCAUCGCUCUUCACGCUGGCCGCUGCAACCCAUGCUACACCACUGGCCUAGAGGGCCAAAUUGAGUCACUCUCAGACACAUUGCUCUCCGAGCUUGAGGCUCCUCACCUUGUUGCAUAUUGAUGAGCUGCUUCCGGUGUUGUCAACGGCUUCUGGCUAAUUGCCCAGGAAAUCAGAGAGGAAGAGAAAGAGUGCGCUUUCUAGUGACGCCCUGUGUGAUGCAAAAAUCAGGCACUGUCCCUGACUCUCGUCUUCCAUUGUGUUUCUUAGUUGUGGCACCUCAGGAGCUCUAGAUCCAAUGCCCUCCCCCUUCAGCUGGACAGAGAGUCGGGGAGAGAGGGAGGGAGAGAGGGAGAGAGAGAGAGGGAGAGAGAAUGUCUGUAGGAUACAAAAACUCCUGCUCCCUGACCCUCAUGUCUGCCCUGAUCCUACACCGAGUAACCAAGUGGACUCAGCUGGGUGAGACCAACUCCCCUCUGCUUUCAGAGGUGGUUCAACUGGUUUGGCCAAAUUGGAAACCGUGUGACAGGGGGUGCCACACCAAUGCUGUAGAAUGGGGCAUGAGACGUGGGAGCAUGUGUCCAAUUUUAGCAUCGCACAAGGCGCUGCUGAAUUCCGGGAGCCCAAAGACUGCCAUUUCUGCCCUCCCACGAAGGUCUCAGGGAUACCGUUCUUGUCACUCUUGCUGGCUGUGUGCCUUUUCAUCCCAAUCUCCGCUCCUCAUAUGUCAGAAGGUGGCAGCAGAGACUGUGCUACGUGAAAUACUGAGAAUGAAUGUUUUCUUCACCAAGUUUACGCAACAAUUCAAAGCUUAAUAGUUUUGUACACUGGGGGUAUGCAAACCCUGGCUGUCCUAGGUUGUCCAUGUUCAAAAAAGAUAAUGCAAAACAAGAAAAAUUCACAACCUUACUUUAAACUAUAUAAAGUUAAGAUACAAAGACAGACUGAACUUGGGAAGACAUUCUGAGAAUUAUGAACUUUUUUCAUUCCUACACAGUCCUCUGUCUCUCCAGCCCAUGUUAGGAAUGGACCCAAGUGAGAUGUUCCACUCUAUAAAAAACAGUGUUUCCAGGACCCUUCCUGAAAGAUGUCUCACUCAUGACAUCCUGGCUGAACUAUGGGCCAGUCCUGCUGCUUUGAAUAAUCUCCUUUAUGCAAAUCUGCCCUUGGGCUCUUUGAUUGAAUGUCCCAUAAUGCUCUGCAGGAUCUCCAAACCCCAAUAGAGGCAACUGAUGAUCACAGAAGAUAUUUGCAUGAAUGGGCAGCUCUUCAGCUCCGGGGGAUUUAAGAGAGGAGUGAGGAAGUUUCCUAUAGAAGUUCAAAGUCCUCUGGAGAGCUCACCAUCAUGUCUUCAUUUCUCUUUCUCUUUGCUCUUUUUAUUUACUGCUCAGGUAAAGCUGUGGAGAAGAUCUCAUGUUCCAUUGGCCAACCAAAAGCUAACUGCAUUUAUCAUUUUUAUUUAUUUGAGAGCACUAAAAAUGUCCCCUUUCUCCAUAUUUUUUUAAACAGGGGUCACCUGCCAGUCAAUUUGCACUCAGCCUGCCUCUGAGUCUGUGUCGCCGGGUCAAACCAUUAAACUCUCCUGUACUACUAGUAAUACUGGCGCCUACAUUGGCUGGUAUCAACAGAGAUCAGGGCAGGCCCCUCGCUUUGUGCACUGUGAAACUGGCAGCAGGGGAGAAGGGAUCCCGGAUCGAUUCACGGCUUCUCGCUCUGGGAACAUUGGCUAUUUAACCAUCACCAACGUCCAGGCUGGAGAUGAGGCCGUUUAUUACUGUGGCAGAUGGUAUAGCAGUGCUAGUGCGUUCCACAGUGAUGCAAACUGAUGGGGAACUGAGACAAAAACCUUUCCUCUCCCACCAAAGAGCAGUGAGAUGUGAAUACCAAAAACAAACAUCAUCUAAUCUGUGUCUACAUCUGUUGUCAAGUCCAUCCUACUCUGGAUGGAACCAGAAGAGACAGAAAACUCUGAAUUCCCACCUCCUUCCUCACAGCAGGACCUUGGAGCUGCCAGCCCAGCACACCCUCAAGUCAGCCCUUCCCAGUGGAUGAAAGAUCUGCUUUGGGAAAGUCAGGCUGUAGAUUUCAUAUCUUUGCAAAAUAGGAGUCUGUUUUAGGAAUUGUGAGCUAUAGCAUAAAUGUCACCUGUGGAUUGCUAGGUUGGUCUUCACUGAGCAUAUUAUAAUAUCAUUAUUAUUUACUAAGCAUUAUCAUUAUGAUUACUAUUAUUACAGGCUCAGGUUGUAUAUAAAGGUAAAGGAACCCCUGACCAUUAGGUCUAGUUGUGGCCGACUCUGGGGUUGCGGCACUCAUCUCGCUUUAUUGGACGAGGAAGCCGGCGUACAGCUUCCGGGUCAUGUGGCCAGCAUGACUGAGCCGCUUCUGGUGAACCAGAGCAGCACACGGAAACGCCGUUUACCUUCCUGCCGGAGUGGGACUAUUUAUUUGCUUGCACUGAGUGCUUUCAAACUGCUAGGUUGGGAGGAGCAGGGACUGAGCAACAGGAGCUCACUCCGUUGCUGGGAUUCGAACCGCCGACCUCCUGAUCGGCAAGUCCUAGGCACUGUGGUUUAACGCACAGCGCCACCCGCAUUCCUUCAGGUUGUAUAUAUGUGUAUAUAAAAUACAUAUCAUAAAGACACCACAAUCUCCAAUGGGCCUCAUUACGAAUGGAAAGACGAACCCUGGGAACCACUUGGAACCACUGGAACCUCCCACCACUUGGAGAUUGAGGUGGCUUGCAAAAAUAGGCUUUGUGCCUGCAGUUGCUGUCAAGUCUAGCUUCUUCCGCAUAGAACUUAUAAGAGAAAAAUAGCAAAUUUGAAGUCCCCCCUGCAGUACUGCUGGUACUGCAGCUACAAGGACUUUUAUGCUUUUUCCAUGAUUCUAGACAUGAGUCUGCCUGGUUUUGCCUUUGCCCUGCUCCUUUCCCCUGGAAAACCUGCUCUUCACCCCUCAAUUGGAACAACCAGCAAUCCGUGGAAAGUCCGACUACCAUAUGCUGCCAUUCAGCAGUAAAUUGCAGGUUUUCCCUGGGGAAAUAAGCAGGGGAAACGGAGCGGUGCCCUUCCAUUUUGAUCAAAGUUGUCGUUUUGGAAAGGCUUGUGAGUUUAUAUCUAUUUAGAUCCUUUUUAGGAGAUGUGAAAUAUUACAGACAGGCAUGCCAAUUGUGGAGUGGGCUGCCUAAAAUAUAUUGUCAAGGAGGGGCCAGGCCCCACAAAGAACCCCAGCGGAUGUGCGCACCCACCGCGGGGCAUGCUUGCGUCACUUUUGCAAGCUGCAGGGCAUGUGCACAACAUAUCAGCACACGCCAUGACAUUCGUAGGUGACGUCAGAACUGAGUUUGUGCAGCCCUGGGCCUGUCAGUUGCAGGGACAAGGGGGUGCCCUUGAUGGCAGAGAUGCUAUUUUCCAAAGCAUACUUUCCCGGACAGUAGGAAGCUGCUGUCACCAUCCCUACCGCUUGGGAAUUUCCCUUGGAUCUUGUCCCUGCUGAAGGUCACGUGCCUUUUGUUCACAAUCUCUGCUCCUUAGAAGUAGGCUGCAGAGAGCGUCUCAUUGGAAAUGUUCUCUAUCCCAAUGUGUUCUGCAAUACAGUAAUGUGAGCCUUAAUACAGCAGGUGAGGGGAAACGGUGGCCUUUUAGAAACGCUUGGACUCCCAUCAGCCCCAGUCAGCAUGGCGAAUGGCCACACACAUUUGGGCCUUUCUCCAAGGUGUUGCUAAACUCUGAAGCUGCCUCUUGCUUGUCUGGAGGGACGAUAGAAAGAGAUGUGUGAAGACACUUCCGCAGUAGACAGAAGUAAAAUUUAGAACUAUAGCUCCACCCACUUGUUCCUCUGGUCUCUCCUACCAUUGGCAGGUGCCCUGCUCAGUCCAUGGCUUUAACCAGCCUCUUCCCCCCCUCUCCCAGACCUGAACAGAGUCUGAAACUAGCAUUUUUUUCUCACCAAUAGCUUAGAAACCUUUACCUUUUGUAACUAAGCAACAUUUUUCAUAUUUCCUGACUGGUGAUUUACUGCUGGCUCACUCCCGUCACUAACCCAUUCCUAUUUUACUUUUUUAAAAAGAAAGAAAGAAAAUCUGUCCUAUUCUCCUCUGUUUGAAUGUCCCACAAUGCUUUAAAGGAACCUGAAAUUCUAGGAGUGGCGUUUGGUUAUCCACAGAACACAUUUGCAUGAAGGGGAAAGCCUUCAGCACUGGGAAAUUUAAGAGAGGAGAGGGCAAGAUCCACUCAGAAAGGCAAACUCCCCUGGAGAGCUCACCAUGGCCCUCCCUCAAUUCAUACUUGCUAUUUUCGUUUACUGUUCAGGUAAGGCUGUGGAGGUGAUCUCUUGUUCAAGAGGCCAAGCCAAAGAUAUUUGAAUCUAUCCCAGAAACAUAGUGCUUUGUGGGUGUUUGUGAAUGCUGAAAAUGAAACGAGGUCCUCAUCUUUGUUUUUUCUGUUGUUGCUUCCUCCUACAAAGGUGUCUCUUCACAGUCAGAUCCGACUCAGCCUGCCUCUGAGUCUGUGACCCUGGGACAAACGGUCAAACUCUCCUGUACUUCCAGUAACCGUGGCAGCAACUACAUUCAUUGGUAUCAACAGAGAUCAGGAAAGGCCCCUCGCUUUGUGCAGUAUGAUGGUAGCAGCAGGGGAGAAGGGAUCCCGGAUCGAUUCACCGCUUCUCGCUCAGGGAACAUUGGCUAUUUAACCAUCACCAAGGUCCAGGCUGGAGAUGAGGCUGUUUAUUACUGUGGCAGAUGGUACGGUCUCACAUCCCACAGUAAUACAAACUGAUGGGGAAGUGUGACAAAAACCUUUCUUCUUCCACCAAAGAGCAGUGAGAUGUGAAUGCUUAAAAAGAACUUCCUAUGCUUUGUGCUUGCAGCUGUUGUCAAGUCAUGAGUAGAUUUGCUUUACUGGCCAUGAUCGGCCAUACAGACAGCUUAAUCAACACAGAUCCCACCACUGCAGGGCACAAACAGAGAGUGAACAGACCCCAAACAAGUUCUUGGUAGAUCAGGACAGACGCUCCAAGUGUCUCUAUUUUGAAGGGACAGUCCUGGAUUUACAGAAGCCGUCCUGGUUUCUGAUUUGAUCCCAGAAAGUCCUGCUUUUCCUCAGGACAUCCCUAUGUCCAUAGUAGAAAUGUUGGAGGGUGUGGAGUUAUUUCACCCCCGAGCCAUCUGAAGACAGCCUUGUAUAGGGUGUGGAGUUAUCCGACUCCCAAAACAUCAAAAGGCAGCCAUGUAUGGGAAAGUUUUUAAUGCUUAGCGUUUUAUUAUGCUUUUAUAUAUGUUGGAAGACAGCCAGAGUUGCAACGCAGUCAAAUGGACAGGGUAUAAAUGGUAGAAUUAUUAUUAUGGGAUAGGACUUCUCUGUUUUCAUUGGUGAAAUAUUGGAGGGUAUGUUGACAAACAUCAGCUCCACAGUCACAUUCCCCACCUGGCAACUUUCCAUGGGUCUCAUGUCACUGGUGGGCGAGGCCAGAGGCAAAGGUGCGAUGAAUGGAUAUUUUACCUCUCUACUGUAGGCUCCCUGAUCCUCAGGUCUGCCCUGAUACAGCACCGAGUAUCCAGUUUGGCCCAGCUGGGUGAGACCAACUGCACUCUGCUCUCAGAGGUGGUUCAACUGGUUCAGUCGAAUUGGGCAUUGUGCUACAGGGGGUCCCACACCAAUGCUGUGGAACGGAGCAUGAGGGGGAGGGGCAUGCACCAAAUUUUAGCAUUGCACAGGGCGCUGCUGAAAUCUGGGAGCCCAAAGACCGCCAUUUCUGCUCUCCCACGCAGGUCUCAGGGAUAUUGUUCUUGUCACUGUUGCAGGCUGCGUGUCUUUUCAUCCUAAUCUCUGCUCCUCAUAUGUCAGAAGGUGGCAGCAGAGACUGUGCCGUUUGAAAUAACAAGAAUGAAUGCUUUCUUCACCAAGUUCAUGCAAUAGUUUAAAGCUCAAUAGUGUUGUACAGCGGGGGUAGGGAAACUCUGGCCUUUCAGAAGUUGCUGGACUCCAACUUCCAUCAGCCCCGGCCAGCAAGAGCAAUAGAAGGAUGCAAAGAGCAGGCGGACCAAUCGGCCCCUUUCUGUGCAGGAGGACGUAGAGUAGGCUGGCCAGAGUGCGCAGCUUGGUUUGUGCAGCCCUGAGGAGUGGGUGUUCUUCCUCUCUUUUGAACUUCUCAAUCAUUUGUUUCACUGAUUCAUUUCAUAAUAUUUCUACACCACUUGAUUGUAUUAAAAAGAAAUCCAAUAAGGUUACGAAGAGAUAAGAAAAGAAAAUGAAGAAAAAUUCACAAACUUACUUUAAACAUAAGAAGCUAAAAUACAAAAAGAGACUGCACUUUCUAAGACGUUUUAAGAAUUUUGAGCUCUUUCCUAUCCUACACAGUCCUCUGUGCAUCCUGCCCAUAUUAGGAAUAUUCCCAAGUGAGAUGUUCCACACUAUAAAAAGCAGUGUUCCCAGGACCCUUCCUGAUAGAUGUCUUACUGCAAAGAGUUCCUUCAUGGCUGUCUCAUCACAAUCUGGCUGAACUAAGGGCCAGUCCUACUGCUUUGAGAAAUCUCCUUUAUAUAAAUCUGCCAUUGCCCCCUUUGAUUAAAUGUCCCAUAAUGCUCUGCAGGAUCUCCCAAUCCCAAUCGAGGCAAUCGAUGAUCACAGAAGAUAUUUGCAUGAAGGGGCAGCUCUUCAGCUCUGGGAGAUUUAAGAGAGGAGUGCGGAAGUUUCCUUCAGAAGUUCAAACUCCUCUGGAGAGCUCACCAUCAUGUCUUCAUUUCUCUUUCUCCUUGUUCUUUUUCUUUACUGCUCAGGUAAAGCUGUGGAGAAGAUCUCAUAUUCCCUUGGCCAACAGAAAGCUAAUAGCAUUUAUCAUAUUUUUUUUAUUUGAGAACAGUGAAAAUGUUAUUUUUUCUCAUUUUUUUUAAAACAGGUGUCAACUGCCAAUCAAUUUGCACUCAGCCUGCCUCUGAGUCUGUGGUGCCGGGUCAAACCAUUAAACUCUCCUGUACAACUAGUGAUACUGGCGACGCUGUUCGCUGGUAUCAACAGAGAUCAGGGCAGGUCCCUCGAUUUGUGCAGUAUGAGGGUAGCAGCAGGGGAGAAGGGAUCCCAGAUCGAUUCACAGCUUCUCGCUCUGGGAACAUUGGCUAUUUAACCAUCACCAACGUCCAGGCUGGAGAUGAGGCCGUUUAUUACUGUUGCAGAUGGUAUAGCAGUGCUAGUGGGUUCCACAGUGAUGCAAACUGAUGGGGAACUGAGACAAAAACCUUUCCUCUUCCACCAAAGGGCAGUGAGAUGUGAAUACUGAAAACCAACUUCAUGUAAUCUGUGUCUACAUCUGUUGUCAAGUCCAUCCUACUCUGGAUGGAACCAGAAGAGACAGAAAACUCUGAAGUCUCACCUCCUUUCUCACAGCAGGACCUUGGAGCUGCCAGCCCAGCACACCCUCAAGUCAGCCCUUCCUUGUGGAUGAAACAGCUGCUUUGGGAAAGUCAGGCUGCGGACUUCCUUUUCAUUGCAAAAUAGGAGUCUGAUUUAGGAAUGUUGAGUUAUAGCAGAAAUGCCACCUGCUGACUGCUAGGUCAGUCUUCAUUGAGCAUAUUAUAAUAAUAUUAUUAUUAUUGACUGAACAUUAUUAUUAUUAUUAUUAUUAUUAUUAUUAUUAUUAUUAUUACAGGCUCAGGUUGUAUAUAUGCGUAAAUAAACCAUAUAUCAUAAAGACACCACAAUCUCCAAUGCGCCUUAUUCCCAAAGGAAAGACGAACCCAGGGAAACGCCUGGAAACCCUGGAACCUCCCACCACUUGGAGAUUGGGGUGGCGUGCAGAAGUAGGCUUUGCACCUGCAGUUGCUGUCAAGCCAAACUUCCUCUGCCUCAAACUUGUAAGAGAAAAGAACACAUCUGAAGUCCCUCCUCCUCCUCCUGCAGAGCAGGACCCUGGACCUCAUUCCUAUCCACACCCGGAGUGCCAGGCUUCCGCAGAUUCCUAGGUCUUGUCCACAUCUCUGCUUAUCCCAUUCCUGGAAACCACAAAUAAAAGCUGUUUUAUGCUUUGCUCCUGCUUUCUAGACAGGAGUCUGGCUGGUUUUGCCUUUGCCCUGCUGCUUUCCCCUGGAAAACCUGCUCUUCAACCCUAAAUCGGAAAAACCAGCAAUCUGCGAAAAAUCUGAUUGCUGUUUGGUGCCAUUCAGAAGUAAAUCUGAUUGCCAGACCUUCCAAGUGUCCCUAUUUUGCAGGGUCAGUCCAGAAUCUACAAAAGCUGUCCUGGUUUCUGAUUUGAUCCCAGAAAGUCCCACUUUUCCUUAGAUCGUCCGAAUUUCAAUCUUAGAAAUGUUGGCGGGUAUGGAGUUAUUGAACCCAGAAGCCAUUUGAAGACAGCCCUGUAGAGCCAUGUUUUUAAUGUUUAAUGUUUUAUUAUGCUUUUAUAUAUCUUGGAUGCCACCCGGAGUGGCACCCCAGUCAGAUGGGCAGGGUAUAAAGAGUUAAAUUAUUAUUAUGGGAUAGGAGGUCCCGAUUUUCAUUGGAGAAAUGUUGGUGUGUACGUUGACAGGCAUCUGCCCGAGAGUCAUAUUUCCCCACCUGGUAACUUUCCAUGGGUCCCAUGUCACAGGUGGGUGGGGCCAGAGUCAAAGGUGCCAUGAACGGAUAUUUUACCUCUCUACUGUAGGCUGGUUCCCCCAACACUCACUAUCCCCCAUCCAUGAAAUGAGAGGCAUCAGUGGAAUGCUAGGGCACAUCCUUGCCAGGCAGAAACCCUUGGGGUGCAAACAGAGCCAGUGGAAGGUGUGGCUAGAGGAGAGUGGGUGUGGCCUAGAGCAGUGGCAGAGUGUGUGGGGGGGAAUGGGGUGCUUGCCCCAGACACAAAAUUGUAAGGGGCACAAAAAUUUGUACACUUGGUGCUACCUCAAUAUAACUGCACACUUCUGUAAUGUGCUCCCUUGAAAAAAGGUUCUCCAUGUGAAGUUGACCUCUCCAAACAAUGGAGCGACUCUUAUUUUCUUGUCUCUUUGACUGCAAUGUCCUGGGUGAUGCGGAGGCUGUUAGGCAGUUGAAUGUACAUGCGUACUUUAUCCGUUUCCCUUCCACCCCCUCUGCACUUGGCCCCGGGUGCUGCAACCCACGCUACACCACUGGCCUAGAGGGCCAGACAGAGACACAUUGCUCUUUCACCAUCUCUGCUCCUCAUAUGUCAGAAGGUAGCAGCAGAGACUGUGCCUUUUGAAAUACGAAGAAUGAAUGUUUUCUUCACCAAGUUUAUGCAACAAUUCAAAGCUUAAUAGUUUUGUACAGCAGAGGUAUGGAAACCCUGGCUGUCCUAGGUUGUCCAUGUUCAAAAAAGAUAAUGCAAAACAAGAAAAACUCACAAUGUUACUUUAAACCCAAAGGGUGCUCAUCAAUGGUUCCUCUUCAUCCUGGAGAAGAGUGACUAGUGGGGUGCCACAGGGUUCUGUCUUGGGCCCGGUCUUACUCAACAUCUUUAUCAACGACUUGGAUGAUGGACUCAAGGGCAUCCUGAUCAAAUUUGCAGAUGACACCAAAUUGGGAGGGGUGGCUAACACCCCAGAGGACAGGAUCACACUUCAAAACGGCCUUGACAGAUUAGAGAACUGGGCCAAAACAAACAAGAUGAAUUUUAACAGGGAGAAAUGUAAAGUAUUGCAGUUGGGCAAAAAAAAUGAGAGGCACAAAUACAAGAUGGGUGACACCUGGCUUGAGAGCAGUACAUGUGAAAAGGAUCUAGGAGUCUUGGUUGACCACAAACUUCACAUGAGCCAACAGUGUGACGCGGCAGCUAAAAAGCCAAUGCAAUUCUGGGCUGCAUCAAUAGGAGUAUAGCAUCUAGAUCAAGGGAAGUAAUAGUGCCACUGUAUUCUGCUCUGGUCAGACCUCACCUGGAGUACUGUGUCCAGUUCUGGGCACCACAGUUCAAGAAGGACACUGACAAACUGGAACGUGUCCAGAGGAGGGCAACCAAAAUGGUCAAAGGCCUGGAAACGAUGCCUUAUGAGGAACGGCUAAGGGAGCUGGGCAUGUUUAGCCUGGAGAAGAGGAGUUUAAGGGGUGAUAUGAUAGCCAUGUUCAAAUAUAUAAAUGGAUGUCACAUAGAGGAGGGAGAAAGGUUGUUUUCUGCUGCUCCAGAGAAGCGGACACGGAGCAAUGGAUCCAAACUAGAAGAAAGAAGAUUCCACCUAAACAUUAGGAAGAACUUCCUGACAGUAAGAGCUGUUCGACAGUGGAAUUUGCUGCCAAGGAGUGUGGUGGAGUCUCCUUCUUUGGAGGUCUUUAAGCAGAGGCUUGACAACCAUAUGUCAGGAGUGCUCUGAUGGUGUUUCCUGCUUGGCAGAGGGUUGGACUCGAUGGCCCUUGUGGUCUCUUCCAACUCUAUGAUUCUAUGAUUCUAUGAAACUUUAAAAAGUUAAGAUACAAAGAAAGACUGAACUUUCUAAGACGUUUUAAGAAUUAUGAGCUCUUUUCAUUCCUACACAGUCCUCUAUCUAUAAAGCCCCAGCUAGGAAUGUUCCCAAGUGAGAUGUUCAACUCUAUAAAAAGCAGUGUUCCCAGGAGCCUUCCUGAUAGAUGUCUUACUGCAAAGAGUUCCUUCAUGGCUGUCUCAUCACAUCCUGGCUGAACUAAGGGCCACUCCUGCUGCUUUGAAUAAUCUCCUUUAUGCAAAUCGGCCCUUGGGCUCUUUGAUGGAAUGUCCCAUAAUGCUCUACAGGAUCUCCAAAUACCAACAGAGGCAAUCGAUGAUAGUGGAAGAUAUUUGCAUGAAGGGGCAGCUCUUCAGCUCUGGGGGAUUUAAGAGAGGAGUGAGGAAGUUUCCUCCAGAAGUUCAAACUCCUCUGGAGAGCUCACCAUCAUGUCUUCAUUUCUCUUUCUCCUUGCUCUUUUUAUUUACUGCUCAGGUAAAGCUGUGGAGAAGAUCUCAUGUUCCAUUGGCCAACCAAAAGCUAACUGCAUUUAUCAUUUUUAUUUAUUUGAGAGCACUAAAAAUGUUCCCCUUUCUCCAUAUUUUUUUAAACAGGAGUCACCUGCCAGACAAUUUGCACUCAGCCUGCCUCUGAGUCUGUGGCGCCGGGUCAAACCAUUAAACUCUCCUGUACAACUAGUGAUACUGACUCCUACAUUGGCUGGUAUCAACAGAGAUCAGGGCAGGCCCCUCGAUUUGUGCAGUAUGAAGGUAGCAGCAGGGGAGAAGGGAUCCCGGAUCGAUUCACGGCUUCUCGCUCUGGGAACAUUGGCUAUUUAACCAUCACCAACGUCCAGGCUGGAGAUGAGGCUGUUUAUUACUGUUGCAGAUGGUAUAGCAGUGCUAGGGCGUUCCACAGUGAUGCAAACUGAUGGGGAACUGAGACAGAAACCUUUCCUCUUCCACCAAAGGGCAGUGAGAUGUGAAUACUGAAAACCAACUUCAUGUAAUCUGUGUCUACAUCUGUUGUCAAGUCCAUCCUACUCUGGAUGGAACCAGAAGAGACAGAAAACUCUGAAGUCUCACCUCCUUUCUCACAGCAGGACCUUGGAGCUGCCAGCCCAGCACACCCUCAAGUCAGCCCUUCCUUGUGGAUGAAACAGCUGCUUUGGGAAAGUCAGGCUGCGGACUUCCUUUUUCAUUGCAAAAUAGGAGUCUGAUUUAGGAAUGUUGAGUUAUAGCAGAAAUGCCACCUGCUGACUGCUAGGUCAGUCUUCAUUGAGCAUAUAAUAAUAAUAUUAUUAUUAUUGACUGAACAUUAUUAUUAUUAUUAUUAUUAUUAUUAUUAUUACAGGCUCAGGUUGUAUAUAUGCGUAAAUAAACCAUAUAUCAUAAAGACACCACAAUCUCCAAUGCACCUUAUUCCCAAAGGAAAGACGAAGCCAGGGAAACGCCUGGAACCCCUGGAACCUCCCACCACUUGGAGAUUGGGGUGGCGUGCAGAAGUAGGCUUUGCACCUACAGUUGCUGUCAAGCCAAACUUCCUCUGCCUCGAACUUGUAAGAGAAAAGAACACAUCUGAAGUCCCUCCUCCUCCUCCUGCAGAGCAGGACCCUGGACCUCAUUCCUAUCCACACCCGGAGUGCCAGGCUUCCGCAGAUUCCUAGGUCUUGUCCACAUCUCUGCUUGUCCAAUUUCUGGAAAGCACAGCUAUAAGGACUUUUACGCUUUGCCCCUGCUUUCUAGACAGGAGUCUGGCUGGUUUUGCCUUUGCCCUGCUGCUUUCCCCUGGAAAACCUGCUCUUCAACCCUAAAUCGGAAAAACCAGCAAUCUGCGAAAAAUCUGAUUGCUGUUAGGUGGCAUUCAGAAGUAAAUCUGAUUGCCAGACCUUCCAAGUGUCCCUAUUUUCCAGGGUCAGUCCAGAAUCUACAAAAGCCGUCCUGGUUUCUGAUUUGAUCCCAGAAACUCCUGCUUUUCCUCAGGACAUCCCUAUGUCCAUAGUAGAAAUGUUGGAGGGUGUGGAGUUAUUUCACCCCCAAGCCAUCUGAAGACAGCCUUGUAUAGGGUGUGGAGUUAUUCGACUCCCAAACCAUCAAAAGGCAGCCAUGUAUGGGAAAGUUUUUAAUGUUUAGUGUUUUAUUAUGCUUUUAUAUAUGUUGGAAGACAGCAAGAGUUGCAACGCAGUCAAAUGGACAGGGUAUAAAUGGUAGAAUUAUUAUUAUGGGAUAGGACUUCUCUGUUUUCAUUGGUGAAAUAUUGGAGGGUAUGUUGACAAACAUCAGCUCCACAGUCACAUUCCCCACCUGGCAACUUUCCAUGGGUCCCAUGUCACUGGUGGGUGGCGCCAGAGGCAAAGGUGCGAUGAAGGGAUAUUUUACCUCUCUACUGUAGGCUCCCUGAUCCUCAGGUCUGCCCUGAUACAGCACCGAGUAUCCAGGUUGGCCCAGCUGGGUGAGACCAACUGCACUCUGCUCUCAGAGGCUUUUCAACUGGUUUCGUCGAAUUGGGCAUUGUGCUACAGGGGGUCCCACACCAAUGCUGUGGAACGGAGCAUGAGGGGGAGGGGCAUGCGCCAAAUUUUAGCAUCGCACAGGGCGCUGCUGAAAUCUGGGAGCCCAAAGACCGCCAUUUCUGCUCUCCCACGCAGGUCUCAGGGAGCCUGUUCUUGUCACUGUUGCAGGCUGCGUGUCUGUUCAUCCCAAUCUCUGCUCCUCAUAUGCCAGAAGGUGGCAGCAGAGACUGUGCCAUUGAAAAACCGAGAAAGAAUGUUUUCUUCAAUAAGUUUAAGAAAGAACUUAAAGCUUAAUAAUUCUGUACAGUGGGGGUAGGGAAACUCUGGCCUUUCAGAAGUUGUUGGACUCCAACUCCCAUCAGCCCCGGCCAGCAAGAGCAAUAGAAGCAUGCAAAGAGCAGGCGGACCAAUCGGCCCCUUUCUGUGCAGGAGGACAUAGACUAGGCUGGCCAGAGUGCGCAGCUCGGUUUGUGCAGCCCUGACUAGUGGGUGUUCUUCCCCUCUUUUGAACUUCACAGUUAUUUGUUUCACCGAUUCAUUUCAUAAUAUUUCUACACCACUUGAUUGUAUUAAAAAAGCCUCUAAGCAAGUUACAAAAAGAUAAGAAAAGAAAAGAAAAUGAAGAAGAAUUCACAACAUUACUUUAAAAGAUAAAAAGUAAAAAUACGAAGACAGACUGAACUUUCUAAGACAUUUUAGGAAUUAUGAGCUUUAUUUGUUCCUACACAGUCAUCUGUCUAUCCAGCCCAGGUUAGGAAUGGUCCCAAGUGAGAUGUUCCACACAAUAAAAACCAACCUAUUAAAAGCAUUGUUCCCAGGACCCUUCCUGAUAGAUGUCUUGCUGCAAAGAGUUCCUUCAUGGCUGUCUCAUAAGACCGUGGCUGAACUAAGGGCCAGUCUUGCUGCUUUGAGAAAUCUCAUUUAUGCAAAAUCUGCCCAUGGGCCCUUGGACUGAAUGUCCUAUGAUGCUCUGCAGGAUUUCUAAAUCCCAAUAGAGGCAAUCGAUGAUCUAAGAAGAUAUUUGCAUGAAGGGGCAGCUCUUCAGCUCUGGGGGAUUUAAGACAGGAGUGAGGAAGUUUCCUUCAGAAGUUCAAACUCCUCUGGAGAGCUCACCAUCAUGUCUUCCUUUCUCUUUCUCCUUGCUCUUUUUGUUUACUGCUCAGGUAAAGCUGUGGAGAAGAUCUCUUGUUCCACUGGCCAACCAAAAGCUAACUGCAUUUAUCAUAUUUACUUAUUUGAGAAGACUGAAAAUGUUCCUUUUUCUCAAUUCUCUUAAAACAGGUGUCAUCUCUCAGUCAAUUUGGACUCAGCCUGCCUCUGAGUCUGUGGCGCUAGGUCAAACCAUUAAACUCUCCUGUACUACUAGUGAUACUGGCUCCUACAUUGGCUGGUAUCAACAGAGAUCAGGGCAGGCCCCUCGCUUUGUGCAGCGUGAGGGUGGCAGCAGGGGAGAAGGGAUCCCGGAUCGAUUCACGGCUUCUCGCUCUGGGAACAUUGGCUUUUUAACCAUCACCAACGUCCAGGCUGGAGAUGAGGCCGUUUAUUACUGUUGCAGAUGGUAUAGCAGUGCUAGUGCGUUCC